Molecule: ribosomal RNA, 495 nt
Filed under: uncultured bacterium
Lineage: Bacteria
Description: partial 16S ribosomal RNA
Rfam family: Bacterial small subunit ribosomal RNA
Source: RNAcentral
GACGAACGCUGGCGGCGUGCCUAAUACAUGCAAGUCGAACGCUGAAGGAGGAGCUUGCUUCUCUGGAUGAGUUGCGAACGGGUGAGUAACGCGUAGGUAACCUGCCUGGUAGCGGGGGAUAACUAUUGGAAACGAUAGCUAAUACCGCAUAAUAGUAGAUGUUGCAUGACAUUUGCUUAAAAGGUGCAAUUGCAUCACUACCAGAUGGACCUGCGUUGUAUUAGCUAGUUGGUGGGGUAACGGCUCACCAAGGCGACGAUACAUAGCCGACCUGAGAGGGGGAUCGGCCACACUGGGACUGAGACACGGCCCAGACUCCUACGGGAGGCAGCAGUAGGGAAUCAUCGGAAAAGGACGGAAGUCUGACCGAGCCAAGCCGCGGGAGUGAAGAAGGUUCUCGGAUCGUAAAACUCUGUUGUAAGAGAAGAACGAGUGUGAGAGUGGAAAGUUCACAUUGUGACGGUAUCUUAACAGAAAGGGACGGCUAACUACGUG